GCGAGAGGAGAGUGUGUGUGGAGUCUGUGUGAGAGGAGUGUGUGUGUGGAGUCAGUACGAGAGGAGUGUGUGUGUGGAGUCUGUGUGAGAGGAGUGUGUGUGUGGAGUCUGUGCGAGAGGAGUGUGUGUGUGGAGUCAGUGUGAGAGGAGAGUGUGUGUGGAGUCAGUGCGAGAGGAGAGUGUGUGUGUGGAGUCUGUGUGAGAGGAGUGUGUGUGUGGAGUCAGUACAAGAUGAGUGUUUGUGUGGAGUCUGUGUGAGAGGGUUGUGUGUGUGGAGUCUGUGUGAGAGGAGUGUGUGUGUGGAGUCUGUGUGGGAGGAGUGUGUGUGUGGAGUCAGUACGAGAGGAGAGUGUGUGUGGAGUCUGUGUGAGAGGAGAGUGUGUGUGGAGUCAGUGCGAGAGGAGAG
Long non-coding RNA from Oncorhynchus tshawytscha (Chinook salmon), 406 nucleotides. NCBI's taxonomy places the organism in Eukaryota, Metazoa, Chordata, Actinopteri, Salmoniformes, Salmonidae. The record is from Ensembl.